RNAcentral lists this transfer RNA (71 nucleotides) under Staphylinidae sp. BMNH 1274232. RNAcentral's name for it is "tRNA-Trp". Lineage: Eukaryota; Metazoa; Arthropoda; Insecta; Coleoptera; Staphylinidae. The record is from RNAcentral.
AAGGAUUUAAGUUAAAUUAAACUUGCAGCCUUCAAAGCUUCGAAUAAAGAAAAUUAUAUCUUUAAGCCUUA